This 851-nucleotide ribosomal RNA is filed under the name uncultured bacterium. RNAcentral describes it as "bacterial SSU rRNA". It matches the Rfam family "Bacterial small subunit ribosomal RNA", at positions 55 to 941 of the family's 1533-position model. The record is from RNAcentral.
CUGCAGUCGACGAGAAAGUGGAGCAAUCCAUGAGUACAGUGGCGUACGGGUGAGUAACACGUGGGUGAUCUACCUCUUUGUGGGGAAUAACCCUGGGAAACCGGGGCUAAUACCGCAUAAGCACGAGAGUGGAAAGCAGCAAUGCGCAGAGAGAGGAGCCCGCGGCCGAUUAGCUAGUUGGUGGGGUAAGAGCCCACCAAGGCAAAGAUCGGUAGCCGGCCUGAGAGGGCACACGGCCACACUGGCACUGAAACACGGGCCAGACUCCUACGGGAGGCAGCAGUGGGGAAUCUUGCACAAUGGGGGAAACCCUGAUGCAGCGACGCCGCGUGAGCGAUGAAGCCCUUCGGGGUGUAAAGCUCUUUCGGCAGGGAAGAUGGUGACGGUACCUGCAGAAGCAGCUGCGGCUAACUACGUGCCAGCAGCCGCGGUAAUACGUAGGCAGCGAGCGUUGUUCGGAGUUACUGGGCGUAAAGGGUGUGUAGGCGGUUGUUUAAGUUUGGUGUGAAAUCUCCCGGCUCAACCGGGAGGGUGCGCCGAAUACUGAAUGACUAGAGUGCGGGAGAGGAAAGUGGAAUUCCUGGUGUAGCGGUGAAAUGCGUAGAUAUCAGGAGGAACACCGGUGGUGUAGACGGCUUUCUGGACCGUAACUGACGCUGAGACACGAAAGCGUGGGUAGCAAACAGGAUUAGAUACCCUGGUAGUCCACGCCCUAAACGAUGCAUAUUUGGUGUGGGCAGUUCAUUCUGUCCGUGCCGGAGCUAACGCGUUAAAUAUGCCGCCUGGGGAGUACAGUCGCAAGGCUGAAACUCAAAGGAAUUGACGGGGGCCCGCACAAGCGGUGGAGCAUG